GCCUAUUGGCUUUAUUCAGUCUUGUCUUUAAGGAGGUUUAUGGUUCGAUUCCUACUUACUUCAGUAUCAGUGGCAGCACACUCUCACUUGAGCUUAUGGGUGCCAUGGUUAAUAUCUAUAUAUUGUAAGUAUACAUAUAUGCCAAGUUUCGAUCGAGAUGACCGGGUGUCGUAGCACCCCACAGUUGUACCUAAAUCGCCCCGACAGAGAUUCCCUUCCAAAAAUAAUCAUGUGGAUACCAUACGAAUCAAUCGAAGGGACCCUAAGCUAGCUCCGCCCUGUACGCGGAGUAUCGAAAAGACUGAUUUAACGUUGUGAAUAUUAAAAGACAAAUGAACAAACAUGC
This 346-nucleotide long non-coding RNA is filed under the name Capsicum annuum. RNAcentral's name for it is "long non-coding RNA (CANN_LNC021271)". Lineage: Eukaryota; Viridiplantae; Streptophyta; Magnoliopsida; Solanales; Solanaceae. The record is from RNAcentral.